UGUCAGCAUCAUCGCUUCGUCCAGAGCCCAGAAGCUCGCUCCUGCAACUGCAAGAAGCAUCAGAACCUAUCCUUUGCUCCAUCCCUCUGUCUCAUCUUCUUCUUCAGUUUUCCUCUCCUUGUCUGUAAUAGUUGCAAACUUGCAAUCAUUCGUAUCCAAAUCCAAAAGCUUUUUGUCAUUUAAUUCUUGACCGAAUUUGUGGGUGCCGCACCUGCCUCCUCUCCUCUCCUCGCAGCGUGCAGACACAUGCUGCUCCUGGCAGUAUUUCUUGCCCCCUUUUGCUCCGUUGGGUUGGGUGCCGCUGUCUCCACCUCAAGUCUUCUUCCUCCCCGCUCUCGCCCGUUCCGUCGCAACCGUCGUGUUUCGCCAGUUGGGGCUCGACCGUCGCGGGGUUCGGGUUAACCUUGGCGCCCACGGCGUCAAAAUUUGAUCUUGGCGAGGUCUUCGGGAGGAAAGAUUGGUUUGUGGUGGCACUAGGAAUCUGCGACCCAUUUCUACGUGGUGAUUUUGGUCUGUGUGUGGGUUUGCUGUGAUUAUCGGCGCCUCGUUGUUGGACCAAAGAUUUCCAUCUUUGUUUCUUGCAAAUUCCAAAGCGGCGGAAACGAUUCUUCUGGGAAAGGAGAGCUGCUUAGUGGGGAGAUUUGGGUGGGAGCAGAGUGAAUUUGAGCGGGGAAUCCAAGAGUUCUUCUUGAUAUUGUUGGAGUCUGAAUGCUUUUUAGUAGGCUGAAUUUCCAUUUUGGUUGAUGCGAAGACUGGAAGUGGACGGGUCGGUGUGAGGAUUUGAGGAGCUGUUGCUGAGGAAAAAAAGAGAUCAAUGGCGUCGCUGUCAGAGAGUGAGGUGACAAAAGGGGGGAGCAUGUGGGAGCUAGAUCAGAACCUUGAUCAGCCCAUGGAUGAGGAGGCAGGCAGGCUGAGGAAUAUGUACAGAGAAAAGAAAUUCUCGUCAGUUUUGUUAUUACGGCUCGCAUUUCAGAGCCUUGGAGUGGUCUUUGGUGACUUGGGCACAUCACCUUUGUAUGUGUUCUAUAAUGUCUUUCCUCGAGGAGUAGAUGAAGAUGAGGAUGUUAUUGGAGCUCUUUCCUUGAUUAUUUACACCCUCACUCUCAUCCCGCUUCUGAAGUAUGUUUUUGUUGUCUUGCGAGCAAAUGACAAUGGUCAAGGUGGCACAUUUGCUCUGUAUUCCCUCUUAUGCCGGCAUGCAAAGAUCAACACCAUACCAAAUCAACACAGGACCGAUGAAGAACUAACAACGUAUAGUCGACAAACUUAUGAGGAGAAUUCACUUGCAGAAAAAAUAAAGAGAUGGAUAGAGGCACAUGCAUAUAAAAGAAACAUCCUCCUUAUCAUUGUUCUCAUUGGUACUUGUACAGCCAUUGGAGAUGGAAUCCUCACUCCUGCCAUAUCCGUUCUUUCUGCGUCAGGUGGAAUAAAAAUUCAAAAGAAAAACAUGAGUACUGAUGAUGUUGUACUUGUCGCUGUGGUCAUCUUGAUUGGAUUAUUUAGCAUGCAGCACUAUGGCACCGAUAAAGUGGGAUGGCUCUUUGCACCAAUAGUUCUCCUCUGGUUCAUUCUAAUUGGAAGUGUCGGAGCUGUGAAUAUACACAAAUAUGAUAGCUCCGUGUUAAAAGCAUACAACCCAGUCUAUAUAUACCGUUUUUUCCGACGACGAGGGAAUUCCGACAGCUGGACCUCUCUUGGAGGAAUCAUGCUUAGCAUCACAGGAACUGAAGCAUUAUUUGCUGAUCUCUGUCAUUUUCCUGUAUUGGCGAUUCAGAUUGCUUUCACCUUGAUUGUAUUCCCUUGCCUUUUACUGGCAUACACAGGGCAGGCUGCCUAUAUAAUUGUUCACAAGAAUCAUGUGGCUGACGCCUUUUAUCGCUCCAUUCCAGACGCCAUAUACUGGCCGGCCUUUGUUAUUGCAACUGCUGCAGCCAUAGUUGCAAGUCAAGCGACUAUAUCUGCCACCUACUCGAUAAUAAAGCAAGCUCUUGCACUCGGUUGUUUUCCACGUGUAAAAGUAGUCCACACCUCAAAGAAAUUCCUUGGGCAGAUUUACAUCCCCGACAUCAAUUGGGUCCUUCUGAUUCUUUGCAUUGCUGUCACUGCUGGAUUCAAGAAUCAAAGCCAGAUAGGAAAUGCAUAUGGCACUGCUGUGGUUAUAGUUAUGCUUGUCACAACAUUCCUCAUGGUACCAAUAAUGCUGCUUGUAUGGAAGAGCCACUGGAUCCUUGUCGUCACCUUUACCGUGCUCUCGCUGAUGGUGGAGGUUCCAUACUUCUCUGCCUGCAUAUUAAAGAUCGACCAAGGUGGUUGGGUCCCGCUAGUCAUUGCAACAGUCUUCUUCAUCAUCAUGUACGUGUGGCAUUUUUGCACCGUGAAGCGGUAUGAAUUUGAGAUGCACAGCAAGGUUUCCAUGGCCUGGAUUCUCGGCCUUGGUCCGAGCCUUGGUCUGGUCAGGGUUCCAGGGAUAGGAUUUGUGUAUACCGAACUGGCAAGCGGCGUCCCACAUAUCUUCUCCCACUUCAUCACCAACCUCCCUGCGAUCCACUCGGUGGUCGUCUUCGUCUGCGUUAAGUAUCUUCCAGUUUACACUGUCCCAACCGAUGAACGGUUUCUGGUGAGGAGAAUUGGGCCAAAGAACUUCCACAUGUUCCGUUGUGUUGCAAGGUACGGGUACAAAGACCUCCACAAGAGAGACGAAGACUUUGAAAAGAUGCUCUUCGACUGCAUCCUAUUCUUCGUCCGACUAGAGAGCAUGAUGGAUGGCUAUUCCGACUACGAUGAGUUCAGCGUGCCAGAGCAGAGGACCAUUGAAUCAAUGAACAACGCAUUCUUGACUGAAAAAACCUGCAACACAAUGUGUUCCAAUGGCGACCUGAGCUACUCAUCGCAGGACUCAAUCGUGCCUGCGCAGUCACCUCUCAGGGGGAGCAGUCUGCUGAGGUAUUCAGGCCAGGCCAGCACGGUCGGCGACGAGCUGGAGUUCUUGAACCGGUGCAAGGACGCCGGCGUCGUGCACAUCCUCGGGAACACCAUCGUGCGGGCACGGAGAGACUCAGGGAUCGUCAAGAGGCUUGCUGUGGACUACAUGUAUGCCUUCAUGAGGAGGAUCUGCAGGGAGAACAGUGUAAUAUUCAAUGUUCCUCACGAGAGCCUUCUCAAUGUCGGCCAAAUAUACUACAUAUGAGAGAGAAAUUUCCUCUUCCGUUCUCCCUGUUUUUUAUUCCAUGUGGGCAGCAGCUCUGCUGUACCGCUCCAUGGACGUGGGAGUGGCGCGGUCGUCGUUGUACCUAUCAGGCAGUGUUCAUGAUGCAGAUGGUCAUGCUUCCUGCUGUAACCUCAUCACCGACACACGGCUAACUUGUGGUUUCGUCGGAGGAUCUCUUUCCAGUACAAGCCAGGUAGGGCAGCCACGAUGACUCCACCCCACA
RNA transcript from Phragmites australis (common reed), 3431 nucleotides. It is a transcript of the gene named probable potassium transporter 11, with no coding region annotated. The transcript has 10 exons. The record is from RefSeq and is a predicted model, not a curated record. Lineage: Eukaryota; Viridiplantae; Streptophyta; Magnoliopsida; Poales; Poaceae.